AUGCAGGAAGGUCACCCACAGUGCGAAAGGGAGAGUGACGCUCGCCGCUAUAGAGGUGCAUAGGGUAUGCGUUAAACACUGGAAGUACAGCUCGUCUUUUAUAUUAUCUUUUGCAGACAAAAGAGAAAAAGAAAGAGAGAGGGGAUUCAGGGAAUGUAGACUAUUCGCUGUCUAAAACCCCCAAAGAGAAGAAUGCAGAAUGCCUGGUGCUCCAACCCCGUGAAUUGUAACCAAAGCGUCCAGGGAGCCUUCCCCCUACAGUCUGAAACCCCAGGAAAUAGUGAAGAAGGGAAUGGACGAGAUGGUAUCACUGUGGCGAGAAAACGUGUAGAGGUGAAACUAGUAAUGAGGAAAAAGGGAUGAGAUUGAAACAAUUAACAAAACGUUAAAUUGAAUGCCAGAUUGUUCUUUGACAAAAAGACCAGCCACCAUAAUGUGUGAUGCAAGCUCCCCUGAGAUGGUGAAUGGAUUACCUGUCAAGGAGGAGAGUGAAGUGUCACCCACUGACGACUGUAGCAUGGGGGGGAGAGAGAGAAGAAAUGGAUACACACUCCUUGAAUCGAAGGAAGAGGAAGAUAUCACAGUUAAAGAGGAAUGUUCAUGUGAUGAGGAACUUCUGGUUAUCGUUGAUCCUUUAUUAACUUUUCAGUGAAAACAGUGUAAGAAUGUGUUUGCCACCUAGUGUGACUUGGAUGUUCAUAUGAAGGAAAAGCAUGAGGAAGGAGAGCGUCUGCAUUGUAGGAAGUGCAGUGAAACAUUUCUUAAGGAAUGUGAACUGAUGUCACAUGCCAAACUUCACGGUCCAGGAAAGCCUUUUACUGAUAAGAGUUCUUCAUUAUCACCUGACCAGUUACUCCAACUGGUCACUCUGAUUAAAGAACGAGAAGGAAUACUCUUCAAGGGGAAAAAAUGAACCAAUAUUCCUUGCCAGAAGAUCACACAAAUGGGCAAAUAUAGCCUCACUCUUCAAUGCUAACAAUCUGGGGCAAGAGAGCCUGGAAGUACAUCUGUAGAAAACGUUAUGGCUUGCAGUGUGGAAGAUGCAGAGCUGGUGGAAGUUCUUGAUCUCCCUUCAGGUUCUGUUACCUCUUCUCAGUGUCUUCCUGCACCAUUAUCAACUACAGUUGUUGCCUCUAUUAUUUCUAUCCCUUUGCUUACAUAACCUUCAAAAACAGUGCCUUCUACAAGCCGUGUUCCUUUGUCUCUUUCUGUCCCCACUCCUGUCUCCAAAGUCUAUACCAUUGACGUGCUCUUCUUCUUUUACUUCUUGCUCUUUGACAUCUGCAUCUCAUCCUCUUUUGUCUGCAUCUUGUCCUGCUUCUAUUCCUAACCUUUCUUCAUCUACAUCUCAUUCUUCUACUACAAGGAAGAGGAAAGGAGAAGGCAAAGAGAGCUUCACCAACUGAAAGUGGAAAAAGCAUAUGAACAAAUCAACACCGCAAAGGAAAAAAAGGAGGCUUGUGUUACAAUACAGUCUGUGAAGGAAUUAGUCAAGACGUUUACAGGGUCCUUGACAGAAUAAAUUACUUGAAGCAAGGCAGCUGUUGCAGCCUCAGGAUUUCACCAAUGAUAAUUGAGUAAGAAGCUCAAGAAAGAGGGAGAAACCAACCAAAAUUACAUUGAUUUUCAUGAAUUUCCUGAUGAUGCAUUUUCCUAUUUAAUUUCCAUGAUUGUACAAACCAAAAAACAGUCAGGUUUAUGGUUAUACUUUGUAUUCUUUAAUAUUUAUGAGAAUAAAUAAUGU
This is a long non-coding RNA of Penaeus indicus, 1744 nucleotides long. RefSeq lists it as uncharacterized. The transcript has 4 exons. The record is from RefSeq and is a predicted model, not a curated record. Lineage: Eukaryota; Metazoa; Arthropoda; Malacostraca; Decapoda; Penaeidae.